This 1608-nucleotide ribosomal RNA is filed under the name uncultured eukaryote. Its description in RNAcentral is "SSU rRNA". It matches the Rfam family "Eukaryotic small subunit ribosomal RNA", at positions 21 to 1660 of the family's 1831-position model. The record is from RNAcentral.
AGUCAUAUGCUUGUCUCAAAGAUUAAGCCAUGCAUGUCUAAGUACAAGCCUCACUAAGGUGAAACCGCGAAUGGCUCAUUAAAUCACACCUAAUCUACUGGAUAGUAAAAAGUUACUUGGAUAACUGCGGUAAUUCUGGAGCUAAUACAUGCACAAAGCCGCGACUCACGAAGCGGCGCUUUUAUUAGAUCAAAACCAAACGGCUUCGGCUGUACUCAUGGUGACUCUGAAUAACUUUGGGCUGAUCGCAUAGCCUUGAGCUGGCGACAUAUCCUUCGAAGGUGUGCCCUAUCAACUUUCGACUGUGGCAUAGACGCCCACAGUGGUUUUGACGGGUAACGGGGAAUCAGGGUUCGAUUCCGGAGAGGGAGCCUUAAAAACGGCUACCACAUCUAAGGAAGGCAGCAGGCACGCAAAUUACCCAAUGACCGAAGGUCGAGGUAGUGACGAAAAAUAACGAUAGAGGACUCAUCCGAGGCCCUCUAAUUGGAAUGAGUACACUUUAAAACCGUCCCCGAGGAUCUAUUGGAGGGCAAGUCUGGUGCCAGCAGCCGCGGUAAUUCCAGCUCCAAUAGCGUAUAUUAAAAGUUGUUGUGGUUAAAAAGCUCGUAGUUGGAUCUCAACAGCCUUGAAGCGGUUAACUUUGUAGUUUUACUGCUUUAUAGGCUGUGCUUUUGCUGGAGGUUUAGGGGUGCUCUUGAUCGAGUGUCUCUGGGAUGCCAGCAGGUUUACUUUGAAAAAAUUAGAGUGCUCAAAGCAGCUAAAUGCCUGAAUAUUCGUGCAUGGAAUAUAGAAUAGGAUGUCGAUCCUAUUUUGUUGUUUUCGGGACUCGACAUAAUGAUAAUAGGGACAGUCGGGGGCAUUUGUAUUCAAACGACAGAGGUGAAAUUCUUGGACCGUUUGAAGACAAACUACUGCGAAAGCAUUUGCCAAGAAUGUUUCAUUAAUCAAGAACGAAAGUUAGAGGUUCGAAGGCGAUUAGAUACCGCCCUAGUUCUAACCAUAAACGAUGCCAGCUAGCGAUCUGCCUGCCGUUUUUACUGUAGACUGGGCAGGAAGCUUCCGGGAAACCAAAGCAUUUGGGUUCCAGGGGAAGUAUGGUUGCAAAGCUGAAACUUUAAAGGAAUUGACGGAAGGGCACCACCAGGAGUGGAGCCUGUGGCUUAAUUUGACUCAACACGGGAAAUCUCACCAGGCCCGGACACUGGAAGGAUUGACAGAUUGAUAGCUCUUUCUUGAUUCGGUGGGUGGUGGUGCAUGGCCGUUCUUAGUUGGUGGAGUGAUUUGUCUGGUUAAUUCCGAUAACGAACGAGACUCUGUCCUGCUAAAUAGUUUCUACUUCUCUUUUGAGUAGAAAUUUCUUCUUAGAGGGACUGGUGACUCUUAGUCACACGAGAUUGAGCAAUAACAGGUCUGUGAUGCCCUUAGAUGUUCUGGGCCGCACACGCGCUACACUGAAUAGAUCAGCGUGUCACCCUUCCCGAAAGGGACGGGUAAACGCUUGAACCCUAUUCGUGGUAGGGAUCGGGGCUUGCAAUUGUUCCCCGUGAACCAGGAAUUCCCAGUAGGCGCAAGUCAUAAGCUUGCGUCGAUUACGUCCCUGCCCUU